Molecule: ribosomal RNA, 492 nt
Filed under: uncultured bacterium
Lineage: Bacteria
Description: partial 16S ribosomal RNA
Rfam family: Bacterial small subunit ribosomal RNA
Source: RNAcentral
AGUGAUCGCUGGCGGUAGGCCUAACACAUGCAAGUCGAACGGCAGCACAGUAAGAGCUUGCUCUUACGGGUGGCGAGUGGCGGACGGGUGAGGAAUACAUCGGAAUCUACUUUUUCGUGGGGGAUAACGUAGGGAAACUUACGCUAAUACCGCAUACGACCUACGGGUGAAAGCAGGGGAUCUUCGGACCUUGCGCGAUUGAAUGAGCCGAUGUCGGAUUAGCUAGUUGGCGGGGUAAAGGCCCACCAAGGCGACGAUCCGUAGCUGGUCUGAGAGGAUGAUCAGCCACACUGGAACUGAGACACGGUCCAGACUCCUACGGGAGGCAGCAGUGGGGAAUAUUGGACAAUGGGCGCAAGCCUGAUCCAGCCAUACCGCGUGGGUGAAGAAGGCCUUCGGGUUGUAAAGCCCUUUUGUUGGGAAAGAAAAGCAGCAGGUUAAUACCCCGCUGUUCUGACGGUACCCAAAGAAUAAGCACCGGCUAACUUCGUG